CCACACUGUGAUAAACCCUGUUACAAAAACCUCAGUGACCCACAGCUUCCUGCACUGGAAACAUAUCGUCAGCAGUGGGUCACUUCACCUGCUCUGGCAACCGAGCUGUCUUCAAUCUACAAAUCACCUUGCAGUGUAUCUGUCAGCCUGUUGGGAAUGUGUGUGUGAAUGUAAUGUGUGUUUCAGGUUUGCGGUGACUAGUGUGCUGUGACAUUUAUUGACUACUGUGUCAUUUAUGUGAUUGCUGUGAUCUUGUAUGUUCACUGUGUAUUGCGUGAUCUUUUACUAUAGUGUGCACCGUGUGAGUUACAUGGACUACUGUUCCCCACACAGACGUCCUAUUGGACUAACAAAUCCCUCUAUCGCUUUCACCGGGACUAAUUACCUGGACAAUUAGUAACCAACCCAUCUACGGGAUCGAGGGGCAAAGAGGAGGAGUAUAAAAAAGAGGAAGCUGCUGACUUAUGGGAACACGGCCGGGACAACGAGACGGUGGCGAACGGACCGACCGACGGACCGACCUCCGUCGUGAGGGGGCAUCGGCCACGACGUCACACCACGUUCUCCACGUUCCACACUGAACAGAGCACGGCCGGAUUGACUGCAAAUAGAUCCCAGCUGUCUGACAGCUCGUGACUGGACUUUCCUGGUGGACGUUUAACUUAUUGGAAGACUGCUUUUAAAAUAUAAAGAAUCGUCAAUGUUUUGAUACUAAAUAAAAGUAUUUUUAUGCAUA
Non-coding RNA from Gasterosteus aculeatus aculeatus (three-spined stickleback), 736 nucleotides. The record is from RefSeq and is a predicted model, not a curated record. Lineage: Eukaryota; Metazoa; Chordata; Actinopteri; Perciformes; Gasterosteidae.